Molecule: long non-coding RNA, 13765 nt
Filed under: Marmota monax (woodchuck)
Lineage: Eukaryota; Metazoa; Chordata; Mammalia; Rodentia; Sciuridae
Source: RNAcentral
GAAGCUCACAGAGGACUCUUUGCCUACAGGCUAGAGGCAGUCUGAAACCCAGCUGUUUCAACUUUCAUUAUCUUGUCUCUUUAUAUCUGGAAGUUAUUUUUUAAAUAACAAUUCUUCCCCCCAUCCCAUCCCCUAUAUCUUUAAUUAGGCCAUUCAACCAACUUUGUGGUGACUAUCCUUUUACCCUCCAAUCGGUCUAAAGACUACUGGAUUGCUAAGGGAUCAGCUUUGCUCUGCCAACUGAAUGAGUGAACAAAUGCCACAUUAGUCCAGAGGUCUUCCCUGAUGGAGGGGAAAGUUUGACCAAUUUACAUUGGAGCAAAAUGAUGUUACUUCUGAUUUGACUUAAGGUAGUAAGUAAGUAUGGCUGUUUCUCUUAUGACUUAAAAUAAAGUGUUCUGAGUUCUUUCUGUUAGUAAUCCAGGCUUUGAUGUGAAGACGGUGGGUUCUGCACCCACCUAUUAAACCUGUUCCUUCAUCCAUGUGAGAGUCAGGCCUCUUCCCAUCAGUAACCUGAGGGACCCACUGGAAGAGUCAGGACUUAUCCCCUCACCUACACAGGCUCCCUUCCUCAUCACACUCUUAUGAAAGGUCAAUGUGUACUUUAAUCACAUAGCCCUGGGUGCUUCUGUUUCUAGACUAAUUAAGGCUCUCAGAACCCAGCACCUGGGGAGUGAAUUCAGUGGUUGCAACAACUGGUAAAGCAAAUGAGCAGGAAGAUAAGAUCUUGGCCAUGGUGCCAGUUACCUGACUCUAUGAGGUUAUAUUACAAACCUUGGAAGGGCCUUCAUUUUCAUAAAAGUGCAGGCUGCUCCUGCCCAAGUACAGAGGAAUUUUCCUCCUUUAUUUUAAUAUGAACCUGGGUGAAAACUAACCAAGUCCCCACCAGGUAUGUUUGAGCCCAUCACCUCAAAAGCAGAGGUUGUUGGCCCAGUGAAUAAGUGGAGCAGCCCAUUUUGAGAAACAUUUUAUGCCAGCCCUUCCAACAAGGAUCAUUGCUUCCUUGGCCAUAACAUAAUCCAGGAAAUUGGGGAAACCACACAUAUGAGCCUCUGGAAAAAGCCACACCACCCUCUUACAAAAUGUGGGAGGAAUAGGAUCAACCACAGUGAUCCUACUGUCCCAUUUUAUCUCUGCCCCCUACCUUUAUCUCCACUUCUGACAAAAUUAACUCAAGGACUUGAGUGGGACCAAUAAGAAGUAGUUGUGUUUGCUCCAAAUCUGGUUUAGGAUAAAUUUGAUUGUCUGGGCUUGUAGCUUUGACUUCCCUUCCUUUCCUGAGGCUUUCUUGUGAGCUCAUUCUCAAUCAACUUGACUCAAGUUGCAAAAAAGUAUGGAGUCCCAUUUCUAUCAGAGUUCAAUGCAAAGACUACUCUUGGGUAUUUCAAGCAUAAAUAGGAGCCAACAAAGGCACUUCUACAGCUACAGAAGUCAGAGGGUCAAUAUCAGGCACCAUGGAAGCUAUAAUCCAAAGUCAGAAAGCUACAGGAAAGUGUCAACCUCAUAGGUGCUCCACACCCAUGAAGGUGACCAGAGUAUGAAGCAAAGCCUGGCCACUGCACAAACUUAUGUCUUCUGGAGACUGCAUGAUUGCUGCCACCAAUGAAGAAAAAGACACUCUGCCCACUCCUGCUUUCCAAACCUUACUCAUUGUGUCUCAUUAGGAGAAUCUAAAUCAUAGCAGCAAGGAAAUCUGGAAGUUUUUAGCCCUCCUACCUCCUAUAGUACACGGGUUACAAAAUGAAACAAAGGAUCCUAAGUGCUAUUGCACUACUUUUGUUAAGGCCACAAAAAUGAUUGAGAAUGAGCUCACAAGAAAGCCUCAUGAAAGGAAGGAAAGGCAAAGCUACAAGCCCAGGCAAUCAAGCUUACUCUAAACCAGAUUUGGAACAAACACAACUACUUCUUAUUGGUCCCACUCAAGUCCCAAGCAGACCUACUUGGAGUUUUGUGAGCUACUCAGAGGCCUAGGAGGACCAGAAGGGAACCUUGCCACAGGGAGGAGAUCCUGGUCUGAAAUUUGGGGAUUAGAAGAAGAUAGAUGAUCUGGAGAGGGUGUAACGUUCCCAUUUCAGACACAAUUAGGGCAGUUCUGCAAUUACUUUUAUAGCUCCCCCAUAAGAUUUUAUUUGUAAAAGGCAUUAUCAGUAAACAUGUAAAUAAUAAAUAACAAGACAGGAGUGAGUAGUUUAAAAACCACUUCUUUCACAACACCCCUGAAAAGCCUGCCCAUCCCCCUAGUCUCCAGCAUGUCAGAAAGUCACACUAAUAUAUGUAAAGAAGUACCUAUCAGAGCACAAGGAGCACCCUGUUCACCAGUCCUUGAACAGAGACAUACAUGGCCUACUGACUGCCCUGCAUCCAAAAUUUGGGGCAAACUGGAAGGACAGCAGAAGGAGGGAGAGACAGGUCAAGAUCUGCAGCUGAAUAGUGCAAAGCCCAGGAAGAAAGCAAUGAUAGUUUUCAGAGGGUGUGAGCGAAAGUUAUUUGCCUCUUAGAUUCACAUCAUAAAAAAAAGUCUACACAAAACCAGUAUUUAGUUAUUUCAUACCAUUCAUUUACAAUUUAUUUUCAUCCAACUCAUUAUGUUACAAAACUGUACAUCUCCUCCCAACACUGUUGGAUAACCCAGGUCAUUUGUUAGGAAGAGAAGAAUCACCACUGGGCUUCUUCUUCAGAUGUCUUCUCUCCUGGGUUGGGCUUAUCAAGACCAGACCAAAGUGUGGAAUGCGGGAAUGGCAAUCCUUUAAGUAAGGUCUUGGCCUGGCUCCUCCAGUUGCUACAAGAGGGAUGUCUCUGUUGGGAAAGCAACCACCAGUCCCAAGAACACAGAAGUCCAGAGAGACAGGCAGGUGGUACUGGCCACCAUCUGGCUGUGGUGGGAAUGUCUGUGGUGAGGGAGCCACAAUUCAGCAGAGAUAUGCCUGUCCAGGACAGGGACCUGGAGUUGUGGGGCCAUAGCACUAGGAAUUCAAGAGAAAUACAGAAUCUCAGGGCACAGCAAAAGCCUAAUAUAUACUCCAAUUCCCCCAAACAUCCCCUGGGUUUUUCAUUUCCCCCCUUUAAAGGCAGGAAUAGAUAUUAGUAUAUGGACAGGCUGCCUAUAUCUUUGGCCCUAUUUUGUGACUUUGGCCACUACUCCCAGAAAACCAAGUGACAGAGGACUUUAGCAGUCUUGCCAAUUACCCCCACACUAUAUACACACCAUUUGACUCUUGAUUCAAGGAUUAUUUCAGGCAGGCUCCUCCUGGUCACACUCCCCACUCAUAUACACAGUACACACACGCCCACAGCACCUACACUUUCUUUGCAGAUCAUUUACUCAAAAUCUAGCUUCAUGUGCAUACUGUGAGCUCCUUGAAGGCAGAGAUCAAUGUCUAUGUGUUUCACCCGACAAAUAGCACCACUACAACAGCAGACUUAGGAGGAACUCAAUGAGCUUGGGUUUAUUUUAACUGGAUUGUGGAUCCCAGCCUUUCUAUAAGCUUUAUGCCCUGCAGAACCACAAUUUUCUAUCCAACUCUGAUCCACACAUUAGCCCUCAGAGGGCAUCUUGUGUUUAACCACUCUCAGAAAACAAGCCCUUUCCUACAGAGUUGAUUCUAGCUCUGCAAAACUACAAAAUUCUCCCAGAUCUGCUAGGAGAAAGGGCUGGAAAAUUAAAUUCUUCACAACCUUCAUUCUACUUUAAAAAAGAUCUACCUUUACCCCCACAUUUGUUGUUGUUGUUUUUUUUUUAAGAUGUCGAUGGACCUUUAUUUUAUUUAUUUAUUUAUAUGUGGUGCUAAAAAUUGAACCCAGUGCCUCGCACAUGCUGGGCGAGCACUCUACCACUGAGCCACAACCCCAGCCCCCACAUUUGUUCUUUCACAAACAUAAACAUGUGGCCCUUGCCUUGGCUUGAAGCAGCAACCUUAAAUCUGGAUUCACAUCAUAGCACAGGCAGAAGAGAAAUGACUGGGAAAGGCUGCUCCCUGAUUGGGCAAUUCCCAGCCCUCUCAGUUUAAGAGUCACCUGGGUCUGCUCACCACCCAUAUUUCAGGGGAAGGAGAGAUGCCAGCAAGGCUCUGCCCAUCUGUCUCACCUCUCUUCCAGGAAGACCCACAGGUUGAACCACUGCCUCAGUACCAGGCACCUCCGCUUCUUCCUGAACUUUUGUCCCGACUAGUCUAGUUGGUUGGCACUUUCAGGCAAGGGCUCAUGGGGCAGCGAGUCACAGACAGGGCUUCCAGUGCCAGUGCUGCCAAGACUGGCACUUCCAAGGCAAAGAUGUCCAAUGGAGCCAGUGUGAGAUGGGCUCUUACUCCUCUAUGUAAACUAGGGUGGAAGGGGAGGGCUGUAUAGCAUGGUCCUUCCUGCUCCUGUGGCUCAGGACCUCAUGAUCCUGCCAAGAACACCUUGUUCACAAAGCCACCUGGAAAAUUGGUCAUUUUGACACCUUUAUUUCCCCUCCACAUAUCCUCACCCUGUUCUCUCAAAAUCUCCUGUCCUUUGGGAGAAAACCCAAAGAUUUUUUUUUUUUUUACUGUAUAUAAUUACUGCACUUUCCCAACCAUGAAUACGUAAGUACUGUCUAGAAAGUCAAUGAAGAUUAUAGCAUUUAAAGAUAAACUGUUUAAGUGCCAUUUGCUUUUAAAAAAAAGUGACCCUUAACCCUCUUGUAUUCUUUUGAGAGGUUAUAUUGGAAUAGAAAUAGGUUCUCUGUCCCUUGGUGGCUACCCGAUCCUCAUAUGAUGUGCUGGCUCAUAGGGCUGGCCUCUAACACUUCUCACCAGGUCUGCCUUUAAACCAUCUCUCCCAAAGGUAACAUAUAUUUUUACAACUUAUGGGAAACUCAGACUUGCUUCUAGUUUUCCCCUAAAGGUAAUUAUAGUCCUCAAACACCACUUUCAGUGAAAAAAAUUAAGCCAUCAGAAGGGCCAAGUUUCUUCCUACAGUAGGACUUUUAUCAAGGAUUUAGUUGGGGGAUAGAAGAAGAGUGCCAUAAGAGAAGAAUUCUACUCAUUAUCUCCUGAUGUAGGCCAUGAGGGAUUUUAUGCUCACAUCUAUCUGCCUAAAAGGGGAGCAGGGGGACUUUCCUUCCCCAGUGAUGUGGGUGCAGACAACCAGCAUAUAAGAAAUCAUUUACUCUGCUCUUGAUUCAACCUUGAUGAAAUGUCUGCCUGCCAGAAGCUGGCCUCAGCUCUGACUAACAACCUGGCAGAACCUCACAGGUCAGUUACUAUUAAUCUAUUAAUUGUGUGAAAAAGGGAAGAGGUAUAAGAGAAGUAAACAAGGGAAAGACCUAUACAAGGUAAAAAAAAAAAAAAAAAAAAAGUAAUUCCUCAAAUGGAAGAGAAAGAAAACAAAAGGCCACUACUCUUACUCUGAUUCUGAGACUGAGGACCUCAUAAACAUAAAGUCACAGCUAGAAGGUUUCUAGAGGACAUGAACUAUUAUAGUCAUUACUCUCCUUAGCAUAAUGCCUGGCACACACUGCGACACCAUUUAGAUGAAUCCUUCAUUGUAGCAACAAAGAAACUGGGCCUGCAGAGGGAGGGUGCCCUACCCAAGGCUCUCCAAGAUUUGGAGAAUUUAAAGAAUGUGGUAUCUAGAAAAAAGCCCAGGCUUGGAGCUUUGGAUGAGACUAUUAACCUUUCUGAGUUUCUGACACUUGGGUAAAGUUGACCUAUCUCACCUGUGAGGAUCAGACAACCUAUGCACUAUGUUUCAAUCAGUGCUAAGCACACAGUUUUUCUACUCUGGCCCUUAACCCUUCCCCAUUGGCCCCUUCUCUCUGAUGCUCCUUUGGAGAUUUUAUCCACCUUUGCCUCAAAGGACCACAAUUAUCAAGUUGAUCACUAAAAUCUCUCAUAUACCGCCACUGGCUAAAUGAGUGCCCAUGGGUUAUCACAAUAAUAAUAAUAUUUACAAAUCAACCAACUCUAGUUGAGACCUACUUUAUGCCAAGUGCCAGGAUAGAGACUUUUGAGAACUUAGUUUUGGGAAAAAAAAUAGAUACUUAUCCUGAAGGCUCUAGAAGAAAAAGAGAGCUCUUACUCAAAGCCAUACAGAAGCACAAACCAAAUAACUUAGGAUCAUGAAGAGGGUGACCCCAGGCUGUAGGAGCAGAGGAUGUGGUGUAUACGCUGAAGUCACAGAUUCCAAUAGCAAGAACUGGGAUUGGAGAUAGUGAAUGAAUCCCUAGCAGAGGAAAAUACAUGAACAAUGGUGAAAAGGCUGGAAACUAAAAGAUGGGAGAAAGGGCAAAAAGAGAGGGUUUUGGAGGUGAAGGGGUCUGACUUCUAUCCUGGCUCUGACUAGCUGUGUGACCUUUCACAGUGUUUUCGUCAUUAAAUAGAAAUUUCCACCUAGCAGCUGGUUUUGAAAAUUAAGCAAGAGUCUACAAGAACCUGACUACCACCUGAUAAUCCAUCAAUAAAUGUUCUUUUUCUCUACUGAAAAAUGUGAGCAUCUCAGCUUGAUGAGAGAACAGAUUCCCAGCCCUCUCUGUGCAUCACAAUCUCCUGGAGAACUUUUUUAAAUAGUUUCAUUCUGUGAAGUGUCUGUUCAGUUCCUUUGCCCAUUUAUUGGUUGGGUUAUUUGUGGGGUUGUUUGUUUAUUUUGGUGUUAAGUUUUUUAGUUCUUUAUCCCUGAAACUAAUGCUCUAUGUGAGGAGCAGGUGGCAAAGAUUUUCUCCUAUUGUGUAGGCUCUUCACACUUUUGUUUGUUCCUCUGCUGUGAAGCAGCUUUUAGUUUGAUGCCAUCCAUUUAUUGCCCAUUUAUUGAUUCUUGAUUUUACUUCUUGCACUUUAGGAGUCUUAUUAAGGAAAUCAGUUCCUGAGAUGAUAUGUUAGAGUGUUGGGCCUACAUUUUCUUCUUGUAUAUACAGGGUUUCUGGUCUAAUACCUAGGUCCUUGAUCCACUUUGAGCAGAGUUUUGUGCAGGGUGAAAACAGGAGCUAAAUUUCAUUCUACUGCGACAGACACUUCACAGAAGAAGAAAUAUAAUUAGUCAACAAAUAUGUGAAAAAAAUGUUCAACAUCUCUAGCAAUUAGAGAAAUGCAAAUCAAAACUACAUUGAGAUUCUUGCUUCAGUCAGAAUGGCAAUCAUCAAGAAUAUAAGUAACAAUAAAUGUUGGUGAGAUGUGCGGAAAAAGGUACAUCAUACAUUGUUGGUGGGACUGCAAAUUGGUGCAGUCACUCUGGAAAGCAGUAUGUAGAUUCCUCAGAAAACUUGGAAUGGAACCACCAUUUGACCCAGCUAUCCCACUCCUUGGAGUAUAUCCAAAACAUUUAAAAAUCAGCAUUCUACAGUGACAGGAUCAUAUCAAUGUUUAUAGCAGCUCAAUUCACAAUAGCUAAACUAUGAAACCAAUAAGUUCCCUUCAAUAAGUGAUUGGAUAAAGAAAAUGUGAUUCACACACACACACACACACACACACACACACUGGAGUAUUACUUGGCCAUAAAGAAGAAUGACCUUAUUAUAUUUGUCAGCAAGUAGAUGGAUAUAGAGACUAUCAUGCUAACUGAAAUAAGCCAAUCCCCCAAAAAUCAAAGGUUGAAUGCUUUCUUUGAUAUGUGGAAGAUAACACAAAAUAUGGGUGGGUGAGGGGAAGAAUAGAAGUGCAGUAGAUUAGACAAUGGGGAAAUGAAAGAAGGAAGGGGGGAUAGGAAAAGAAAAGACAGUGGAAUGGAUCUUACAUAAUUUUCCCACGUACAUAUAUGAAAACAACACAGUGAAUCCCACCAUCACACCAUCAUGUACAUCCAUAACGAUGGAAUCCUAACUUGAAUAAAAUACAUUCCAUGAUUAUAUAAUUAUAUCAAAAUAUAUUCUGCUGUCAAAUAUAACUAAAAUAGCUGGGUCAAAUGGUAGUUGCAUUCCAAGUUUUCUGAGAAAUAUACAUACUGCUUUCCAGAGUGACUGCACCAAAACAGAAUCUAUUAAUAAAUAAAUACUGUUUCCUCACCUUCCUUUCACCAGGGGCUGAUAUCAGGGUUAGAGGCAGAAUUAGACAACUAACAAGACACAGAACACACACACACACACACACAUACACACCAUGUACACCACAUAUGUGCACUCCACACAUACUAUCCAUCACACAACAGACCACACAUGCACACCACACACACACUCCCCGAGCAAGUCCUCUCUAGUACCCCGAAGGGAUAGCUGUCAAGCCCCAGCUCAGUCAGCACCCCAGCUUUCCUGGAAGUCAAUCCAACAGAUGGAGACCCACAAUCUCCCUGCCCCAAGCAGAGAACCACUCAUGGCAGGGCUUUCCCUCCAGAUCUGAGAAAAGAACAGGCAGGAGAGUGGCUGGGCAGACAGUAGAGCUGACUCAGGGAGGGAUGGCACUUUAGUCAGGGAAAGCAGCAGUAGCAAAGGCAGUAACAUAGCAGGAAUAGAAGAUUUUCUGAUGCAAGUGGUAAUCCUAGAAAAGAGAUUUGAAUGCCAAAACACUGGACUUUUAAAGAGAACAAGUAAUCUUGGAAGGUUCUGAGUAGAGGAUACUUGAAAGAUUAGUCCCACAGAAUGGUAAAGAAUGAAUCAGAAAGAGAAACGCCUGGAAUGAGCCAUGGCCAUGGUAAUGGAGAACAACAAAUCCCAAGGAGUUUUUUCUGGAAGAAGCCAAGUGUCUUGUGGAAAAUGGGAAAUGGAAAGAGCAUUAAUCCCUGAGGCCUCCAGGACCCUGGGCAACCUUCCCUCCACGUUCCCUUCCCCCUAAAUGCUGCUAAGAAAGAGUUCACAGCACCCUCAGCAGUCCCAAGUACCCACCCAGUCACCCACGUCUGAUACAACCCCAGCCAUCUAAUGUCCAUCAGUGUCCAUCUAAUGACUAUUCUCCUGGGCCCCAAGGAAAUGACCAUGCUGUGGUCCUCUGGAGCCUCUGAAGAUAACAGCCACCCUGGUGCCCAGGCAGCCAGUCCCCUUGCUGCUGUCUACCCAGAUACAACCAAUUGUUGAUGGGACAUCUAGCCUGGGCAUGUUCUCACGGCCUUUGCAAUGCAACACAUCCAGCACUAUGUUGUUGCCCAUAAAACAGCCUACAGUGAGAAAAAUGAGCAGAAACACUAUAGUUCUCAGGACCACCCAAUAUACUCCCCAAUCACACACCCAAGAACAAAGAAAUCAUCCUGCCUAUCCCUUUCCCAACUGUGCAGCACAGUACAGUUUCAGAGAGGUUCUAAAAUUGGGCCUCAUGACAGCCCUACAAGGCAGGCAGGCAGGGCAUGAUAAGUGUGUUUCAGAGAUGAAGACACUGAAGAUCAGAGCAAUGUAAGAUCAGAGCUGCAUAGGGGGGGAGGCAAUGUGGAGGGAAGGUUGCCCAGGGUCCUAGAGGCCUCAGAAAUGCUCUUUCCAUUUCCCACUUUCACUGGAGAUGAGGACACUGAAAAUGAGAGCAACGGGAGAGUUUGCCUGGAGUUACUGAAUGAGUAAGCACUCAUUCAGUCCCACAGCUAAGGAUAGAAAGAACCUGAACAUCAAACUCCCAAUGUAGUAAGACUUCCCAGCGGAGGUGACAUUUGCGCAGGAUGGGAGCUGGUCUGGGGAAAAUGAGAAAGUUUCCACCUAUGGAGAAAUGCAAAGGUGCUCCCUGGGGAAGAAAGCAGGCUGGUGGGAUUGAAUGAGUGCUUAGUACCCAAUCAUCACUUUCCAACAAAAGCAACCUAGUCUGAGAAAUUCUCUUUUUAGAUGUUUCUGCAUAGGACAGGAGGCAUUAUAGUUUAGGAGCCACAGUCAGGGAUCCCAGGAGCCUACAGCACCAUCACAAAUAAUAGCAAGAUCAAGCAGAAGGAACACAGAAGCCCUGGUUCCUAGUUUCACUUAUGGAAAUCCUCAUGCAGGGAAGGGGUAUCUGGCUCCAUAUGUGAUGUUUCUUGGCAACCACUGUGUCCUAGGGUACCCCUCACUCUAGGCCUUCCUUUGAGGAUUCCCGCUCCAAUGAUCUUUUUAGUAAAACCAUUAGCUCCCAUCCCUCUUCUGCCUGCAGCCUAGACCAACUCUAACCAGAAACAGACCUAAUAAUUGGGAGUGGGGAGAAGCUAUCACCACUGGCAAGGUAACCCUGGCAAACCAGGAGCCCAAAAGUUAGCAUGAGCUGAUUUAAGAUCAACACAACAUCUAAAUAAGAAAAAAAAGAACUUGUCUUUAAUCACUCAUAGUAUUUUAUUUAUUUACUUAAGAAUGAGGAAAUGGCAAUUGGAACAAGUGAUUACAGCUUCUGCUGAGCACCCUUGACUUUUCCAAAGGUGAGCUCCAUUUCUUCAUACUUUGUCUCCAGAUCCCAAUGACAAAAGCUACUGUUUGAUAUUAAAGCUUCAGUACUUUCAGUUUUUGGUUAUCCUCAUUUUGCAAUCAAGUAUUUUCUUAACCACACUGAUUUUUUUUUUUUUGGGGCGGGGAGGUAUUGCUGGGGAUUGAAUCCAGGGCCUCAUGGAUUUUAGGAAAGUAUCCCAAAUCCAGCUUUUUAAAUUUUAAAAUGCUGGAGGUAAGGGUGUCAGCAACCCCACCUGAGAAGGCACAGGGAGAAAGAAGCCACAAAAAAUAAUCAUUCUAGAAAGAACCCUGACACCCGGGUGCCCAGGGGCUAUGAGAGUUCCAUUCGGGGAUACAUUAGAAUCAUAAAUUGUAUCCUUAGAAUCAGAGAAGUCCAGGUGUUACAAUGUCACUUCACACCAUCUGCACCAGCACAAACCUUAUCCAAAGGCCCACCCACUAAACUACCCAGAUCAAAAUAUGCUGUCUAGCCUCCCACCUGCCCAGAACACACAUCUAACUUAACCCUCCAUUGAGCACCCCAUUAAUGUAUUACUGGAUGCAGGGGAAGCUCUUGGGAAAUUAACUGAGUCUGGCAAGAGUAGAAGGUAAAGGCUCCAGUGCCCAGGCACUUUGUAUCUCUGCUACCCAGAUGUGUACUUUAGUAAGACAAAGCUGUUUCCUAAUGUUCACACCAGGGAACAAGCCAGGGGAAACACCACUGUCGGGUACCUAAAGAGCAAAACCCUGGCUAACAGCUUUGUUUGAAAAAGUCAUUUGUUGAGACAGGAAGGAGUUGGACAUAGUGUAACAAUCCAAAUAUGAAACUUAAGACUUAUAGAAGAGGGAAACCACUCACACAGAUUUGAGAGGCACCAUGAAAGGCAGAAACAGCAAUUUGUUUUGUGGCAGAAUUCUUCAAUCAAUAAGGUAUAGAAGACAAACCUCUCAUUUUUUAUAACAGUUUUAUUCAAACAAUUACAUAAAGUAAGAUCUAUUAUUUUUACGUGAAAUUCUAUUUUUUAUUUUAAUUUGUUAUAAUGGCAGAAUUCAUUACAAUUCAUAUUACACAUAUAGAUCACAAUUUUAAGAUCUAUUCUUUUAAAGCAUACAAUUCAGUGAUUUUUUUACUCUAUGUGAGAACAUAUAGAGUACUUAGACAAAUUAAGAUAUCUAUGAUGUCUCUAGAUGAUACAAUCUAAUUAGUCCACCAUUGUAUACACAGUCUACCUGUAUUAGCUUUUUUGUUACUAUGACUAAAAGACCUGACAAGAACAAUUUUAGAGGAGGGAUAUUUAUUUGGGGGCUCACAGUUUCAGAACUCAGUCCACAGACAGCUAGCUUCAUUCCUUGGGACUCACAGUGAAGUAGGACACCAUGGCAGAAGAAUAUGACAGAAGGAAGCAGCUCACAUGAUAAUCAAGAAGCAGAGAGAGAGAGAGACUCCACUUGCUAGAUACAAAAUAUAUACCCCAAAAGCACACCACCAAGCACCUUCUCCAGCCACACCCCAUCCACCUUCAGUUACCACUCACUCAGUUAAUCCCAUCAGGAGACUAAUUCACUGAUUGGGUUAAGGCUCUCGUAGCCUGAUCAUUUCACCUCUGAAUGUUCUUGCAUUGUCUCACAUGUGAGCUUUUGGAGGACAACUAAUAUCUAAGCCAUAACAUUAUCACUAACAGAAACAUUGUCAUGCAGCACAUAAUAGUAUUUACCGUAGUUCUCAUUACCAGAUUCAUGUCCAGCUUUCAAUAAAAAUGUAAAAUUACGCUAAAAAAUGAGAAAAAUAACAGUCUAAAGAAACAAAGUAAGCAUCAGACUCAGACAUGAUAAAGAUUCUUGAAUGAUCAAAUAGGAAUAUGGCUGAACUGAAAAGCAUUGUCAAUGAAAUGGAUCUAAAAUUUAUAAAAUACUUCAUCCAACAAUGGAAGAAAACAUACUCUAUUCUACUCAGGUGGAAUAUUCACCAAGAUAGACUAUAUUCUGGGUCAUAAAACAUGCCUCAGCAGAUUUAAAAGAAUAGAAAUCUUACAACAUAAGCUCUCAGGCAAUUAAACUAAACUAGAAAUUGAUAACACAAAGGUACCCCUCAAACCCCAAAUACAUAAAGAUUAAACAGUACAUUUUAAAAUAGAACAUUGAUUAAAGAAGUUUCCUGAAACUUUAGAGAAGAUUAAACUAAAUGAAAGUGGAAAUAAAACAUUAAAAUUUGCAGGAAGCAGCAAGAACAAUGUUUAGAGGGAAAUUCACACAAGACUUUAAUUCUGACAACUUUACGACAUGGAUUCCACGUGCCACCCCAUUUUACAGUCAAGAGAACUAAGGCACUAGGAGGUAGGAGGCUUGUUGGCCAAGGUUGCACAGCUACAAUGGCAGAGCUGGGAUUUACAUACAGGCAAUCCCACUCCAAACUCCACAUGCUUUUAAAAAAAAUUUUAGUUGUAGAUGUUCACAAUAGCUUUAUUUUGUUUAUUUAGUUUUUUUUUGUUUUAAUGUGAUACUGAGGAUUGAAUCCAGCACCUCAUGUGUGCUAGGCAAGCACUCUACCACUGAGCCACAACCCCAGCCCCAAACCCUACACCCUUAACUCUCUGCUACAGGCCAAUCUCAUGAGACACCUACAACUCUGUGCCUGAACUGAACAGGUGACAUGUGCUAAUGCCUAUACCUACUCACAAAGAUAGUUUGGUGACAUCUAUGGAGAACAACAAGAAACUCUCCCAGCUUCUGAAAGGGCAGACAAGUCAUUUCUCUAUUCUUUUAAAAACAUAAAGGAAAUUCUUUCAUCCCUGAGAUGUUUUUUCUUAUCUUCAUAAAGAGAUUUGACAGAGGGGGGAAAAUGGCUUUCUUCCUUUUUAAUUCAAGGCUAGCUUGGACAACCUGGCAAGACCCAGUCUCCAAAUAAAAAAGAAAUAAAUUAAAAGAUUUGGGGACAAGACUCUGUGGUAGAGCACCACUGGUUCAACCCUCAGCACUGCAAAAAAAAAAAAAAAAUGACUAAUAAAAAUAAAGUGAUAUAAUCUUAUAAAAUGUGUUACCUUGAGGAGAGAACCCACACAGAAAAGAAUUUUGAGAGAUAUAAGUUGCUAUAAUACCACCAAUAUCUUCAAGUGUGGGAGGCCAUCCUCGCACGUGAUUUGAGUUACCUCCCUGGCUGGGUGAGAGGCGCUUAGGCACAGCUAUGUCCAAAGCUUUCCCCAUCCUUCUCAGGUUCCGAAGGCUUGUCUGUUCGGAGGCAUGUCUGGCCACUACCCUGAAGACCCAAUCAUUGCCCCUGACCUUGGGAUGCGGCCCCCCUUAAUCUUCAUUGGAUGGGAUUUUCCCCAGAAUUUUUUGUUCCCCAAUAAAAGUCCACUCCAUGGCGUGUUCUCUCUCUCUCUCUCUCUCUCUCUCUCUCUCUCUCUCUCUCUCUCUCUCUCUCUCUCUCCCCCCUCUUUAGUAAACCUCGCUACCACAAUGGGUGGCUGAAGGCUGGACCUAGGAGGAGCCAUCCUGGAGCUGGUUUAAAGGUAAUUA